Cucurbita moschata (crookneck pumpkin) is the source of this 227-nucleotide long non-coding RNA. RefSeq lists it as uncharacterized. The transcript has 2 exons. Lineage: Eukaryota; Viridiplantae; Streptophyta; Magnoliopsida; Cucurbitales; Cucurbitaceae. The record is from RefSeq and is a predicted model, not a curated record.
GGAAAGCUCAAAAAGGGCAAUAUCUGCUAGCGGUGGAUCUAGGUCGUUACACAUGGUAUCAGAGCUAGACAUCGAACGAUGUGCCAACCUUCUCGUUGUUCUCCAAAGGAGGGUGGAUUGUGAUGUCCCAUAUUAGUUGGGGAGGAGAACAAAACACCCUUUUUAAAGACGGUGGAAACUUUCCCCUAGCCGACGCGUUUUAAAGCCUUGAGGGGAAGCCCGAAAGG